UACAGGUGGUGCAUGGCUGUCGUCAGCUCGUGUCGUGAGAUGUGGGUUAAGUCCCGCAACGAGCGCAACCCUACUCUUAUGUUGCCAGCACGUUAUGGUGGGGACGUCGUAAGAGACUGCCGGGGUCAACUCGGAGGAAGGUGGGGACGACGUCAAGUCAUCAUGCCCCUUAUGUCCAGGGCUUCACACAUGCUACAAUGGCCAGUACAGAGGGCUGCGAGACCGUGAGGUGGAGCGAAUCCCUUAAAGCUGGUCUCAGUUCGGAUCGGGGUCUGCAACUCGACCCCGUGAAGUCGGAGUCGCUAGUAAUCGCAGAUCAGCAACGCUGCGGUGAAUACGUUCCCGGGCCUU
RNAcentral lists this ribosomal RNA (351 nucleotides) under uncultured Rhodococcus sp. RNAcentral's name for it is "bacterial SSU rRNA". It matches the Rfam family "Bacterial small subunit ribosomal RNA", at positions 1033 to 1382 of the family's 1533-position model. Lineage: Bacteria; Bacillati; Actinomycetota; Actinomycetes; Mycobacteriales; Nocardiaceae. The record is from RNAcentral.